AAAUAUAUCAUACUAUAGUCGCUUAUACAUAUAUGAGCAAGCAUGUAUGCAUGUACAAAAAAAAGAGCAUAGAGGAAAGAUACAUGACAUCACGUAUCUCAUGAUUCUAUGCGAAUGCGACUAUUUGUCAAACGGUACUCGUUGUUAUUGAAAACGAUUCCCGUUUUAGUUAAGAAUGAAACGAUAGCAAAAAUUUAAUAAUACCCAUGUAUUAUUAUAUCGAAUGUAAUAUAUGAUGUGGUGUAUUUAAGCUAGUGAUGUAUUAUUACUACCGUCGUCGAUGAUAUAGAUUAUCAAUGGGUAUCAUUGAGAAUCGUGCAAUAUAAUAGAUUGAAUUUCAUCGUCGAUAGAUGACAUGUGUUGUUUAGUAAUAAUACGGCUAUUUAAACAUUAGCUAUAAUGCACCGAAUCAUAAUAUCAUAUUACAUUGAAUUUUCUCUCCAAAUGCAACCUGAACUCAGAUGUGAUUACCCGCUGAACUUAAGCAUAUCAUUU
RNAcentral lists this ribosomal RNA (495 nucleotides) under Varestrongylus eleguneniensis. Its description in RNAcentral is "eukaryotic LSU rRNA". Lineage: Eukaryota; Metazoa; Nematoda; Chromadorea; Rhabditida; Metastrongylidae. The record is from RNAcentral.